RNAcentral lists this ribosomal RNA (451 nucleotides) under uncultured Azospirillum sp. RNAcentral's name for it is "bacterial SSU rRNA". It matches the Rfam family "Bacterial small subunit ribosomal RNA", at positions 8 to 507 of the family's 1533-position model. The record is from RNAcentral. Lineage: Bacteria; Pseudomonadati; Pseudomonadota; Alphaproteobacteria; Rhodospirillales; Azospirillaceae.
AGAGUUUGAUCCUGGCUCAGAACGAACGCUGGCGGCAGGCCUAACACAUGCAAGUCGAACGCAUCGCAAGAUGAGUGGCGCACGGGUGAGUAACACGUGGGAAUGUGCCCUUUGGUUCGGAAUAACGUCUGGAAACGGACGCUAAUACCGGAUGUCCCCUGCGGGGGAAAGAUUUAUCGCCAAAGGAGCAGCCCGCGUCUGAUUAGGUAGUUGGUGGGGUAAUGGCCUACCAAGCCGACGAUCAGUAGCUGGUCUGAGAGGAUGAUCAGCCACACUGGGACUGAGACACGGCCCAGACUCCUACGGGAGGCAGCAGUGGGGAAUAUUGGACAAUGGGCGCAAGCCUGAUCCAGCCAUGCCGCGUGAGUGAUGAAGGCCUUCGGGUUGUAAAGCUCUUUCGCACGUGACGAUGAUGACGGUAACGUGAGAAGAAGCCCCGGCUAACUUCGUG